UACGUAGGGUGCGAGCGUUAAUCGGAAUUACUGGGCGUAAAGCGUGCGCAGGCGGUUUUAUAAGCCAGAUGUGAAAGCCCCGGGCUCAACCUGGGAAUGGCAUUUGGGACUGUAAGGCUGGAGUAUGGCAGAGGAGAGUGGAAUUCCCGGUGUAGCAGUGAAAUGCGUAGAGAUCGGGAGGAACAUCAGUUGCGAAGGCGGCUCUCUGGACCAGCACUGACACUGAGGCACGAAAGCGUGGGGAGCAAACAGG
RNAcentral lists this ribosomal RNA (253 nucleotides) under uncultured bacterium. RNAcentral describes it as "partial 16S ribosomal RNA". It matches the Rfam family "Bacterial small subunit ribosomal RNA", at positions 524 to 776 of the family's 1533-position model. The record is from RNAcentral.